UACGUAGGGGGCAAGCGUUGUCCGGAUUUAUUGGGCGUAAAGAGCGUGUAGGCGGCCAUGCAGGUCCGUUGUGAAAACUCGAGGCUCAACCUCGAGACGCCGAUGGAAACCGCAUGGCUAGAGUCCGGAAGAGGAGAGUGGAAUUCCUAGUGUAGCGGUGAAAUGCGCAGAUAUCAGGAAGAACACCGGUGGCGAAGGCGGAUCUCUGGGCCAUAACUGACGCUGAGGAGCGAAAGCAUGGGGAGCGAACAGG
Molecule: ribosomal RNA, 253 nt
Filed under: uncultured bacterium
Lineage: Bacteria
Description: partial 16S ribosomal RNA
Rfam family: Bacterial small subunit ribosomal RNA
Source: RNAcentral